This 447-nucleotide ribosomal RNA is filed under the name uncultured bacterium. RNAcentral describes it as "bacterial SSU rRNA". It matches the Rfam family "Bacterial small subunit ribosomal RNA", at positions 355 to 825 of the family's 1533-position model. The record is from RNAcentral.
UGGGGAAUCUUGCACAAUGGGCGAAAGCCUGAUGCAGCAACGCCGCGUGCGGGAAGAAGGCCCUCGGGUUGUAAACCGCUUUCAGAAGGAACGAAACUGACGGUACUUUCAGAAGAAGGUGCGGCCAACUACGUGCCAGCAGCCGCGGUAAUACGUAGGGACCAAGCGUUGUUCGGAUUUACUGGGCGUAAAGGGCGCGUAGGCGGCAAUUCAAGUCAUCUGUGAAAUCUCCGGGCUUAACUCGGAACGGUCAGAUGAUACUGCUUUGCUAGAGUGCAGAAGGGGCAAUCGGAAUUCUUGGUGUAGCGGUGAAAUGCGUAGAUAUCAAGAGGAACACCUGAGGUGAAGACGGGUUGCUGGGCUGACACUGACGCUGAGGCGCGAAAGCCAGGGGAGCAAACGGGAUUAGAUACCCAAGUAGUCCCUGAGCGGGCUGGCAAGGCGCAU